AAUAUUGUUAAUUUUGUGUAGUGUUUAAGAUUAUAUAAUUAUAUUAUGAUUGUUAAUUAUAGGUUUUUUUCCGUAGCAUACCAUCCCAUGUUAUAAUCCACUCAAACCCGUCACACCAUAUAACCCCGUCCCGUGAAAUUAAACACAAAUUUGUCAUUUUAUUAUAA
This 167-nucleotide small RNA is filed under the name Arabidopsis thaliana (thale cress). Its description in RNAcentral is "ATSL097980". The record is from RNAcentral. Lineage: Eukaryota; Viridiplantae; Streptophyta; Magnoliopsida; Brassicales; Brassicaceae.